This 769-nucleotide ribosomal RNA is filed under the name Micrococcaceae bacterium. RNAcentral describes it as "bacterial SSU rRNA". It matches the Rfam family "Bacterial small subunit ribosomal RNA", at positions 43 to 824 of the family's 1533-position model. Lineage: Bacteria; Bacillati; Actinomycetota; Actinomycetes; Micrococcales; Micrococcaceae. The record is from RNAcentral.
CGUGCUUAACACAUGCAAGUCGAACGAUGACCCGGUGCUUGCACCGGUGAUUAGUGGCGAACGGGUGAGUAACACGUGAGUAACCUGCCCUUGACUCUGGGAUAAGCCUGGGAAACUGGGUCUAAUACCGGAUAUGACUCCUCAUCGCAUGGUGGGGGGUGGAAAGCUUUUUGUGGUUUUGGAUGGACUCGCGGCCUAUCAGCUUGUUGGUGAGGUAAUGGCUUACCAAGGCGACGACGGGUAGCCGGCCUGAGAGGGUGACCGGCCACACUGGGACUGAGACACGGCCCAGACUCCUACGGGAGGCAGCAGUGGGGAAUAUUGCACAAUGGGCGCAAGCCUGAUGCAGCGACGCCGCGUGAGGGAUGACGGCCUUCGGGUUGUAAACCUCUUUCAGUAGGGAAGAAGCGAAAGUGACGGUACCUGCAGAAGAAGCGCCGGCUAACUACGUGCCAGCAGCCGCGGUAAUACGUAGGGCGCAAGCGUUAUCCGGAAUUAUUGGGCGUAAAGAGCUCGUAGGCGGUUUGUCGCGUCUGCCGUGAAAGUCCGGGGCUCAACUCCGGAUCUGCGGUGGGUACGGGCAGACUAGAGUGAUGUAGGGGAGACUGGAAUUCCUGGUGUAGCGGUGAAAUGCGCAGAUAUCAGGAGGAACACCGAUGGCGAAGGCAGGUCUCUGGGCAUUAACUGACGCUGAGGAGCGAAAGCAUGGGGAGCGAACAGGAUUAGAUACCCUGGUAGUCCAUGCCGUAAACGUUGGGCACUAGGUGUG